GACGCNGGCGGCAGGNCUAACACAUGCAAGUCGAACGAGAACCCCUUCGGGUGGUGGACAGUGGCAGACGGGUGAGUAACGCGUGGGAACGUGCCUUUCGGUUCGGGAUAACCCAGGGAAACUUGGACUAAUACCGGAUACGCCCUUCGGGGGAAAGAUUCAUUGCCGAAAGAUCGGCCCGCGUCGGAUUAGCUAGUUGGUGAGGUAAAAGCUCACCAAGGCGGACGAUCCGUAGCUGGUCUGAGAGGAUGACCAGCCACACUGGGACUGAGACACGGCCCAGACUCCUACGGGAGGCAGCAGUGGGGAAUAUUGGACAAUGGGCGCAAGCCUGAUCCANCCAUGCCGCGUGGGUGAANAAGGCCUUANGGUUGUAAAUCCCUUUCACCGGGGAANAUAAUGACGGUCCCCANAAAAACCCCGGCUAACUCCUGCCACACCCNGUAAUACNGANGGGCUANCNUUNUUCNNAAUUCUGGCCUNAANCCCCCUA
Molecule: ribosomal RNA, 493 nt
Filed under: uncultured bacterium
Lineage: Bacteria
Description: partial 16S ribosomal RNA
Rfam family: Bacterial small subunit ribosomal RNA
Source: RNAcentral